CAGCAGUUGUGGAAACAGGAUCUUGCAGUUUCUUUUACCCUCUUCAAAGGCUCACACAAUUCACCCAGUUAAAAUAUGUGUGUUGAAUGCAAUGCCACAGAAGCAAUUGCUUUGGAUGCUAAGGCUGUCAUCCUGGCCAAGAAAAGCCCUGUCCCAUGUCAUUCAGAGACUACAGUGGUGUAGCAAUGUGAGUUGGUGACCUAGAUAUUUAAACUGAUUUUCAAAUUGAAUGGAGUUGGGAGAAUCCUUCUGUGGACCCACUGGAGAUCUCUGUCCCCCUGGAAGACACCUUGCAGCCAAAUUAUCAAUGAUAAUUACAUUCUACCUCCUUUAAUUGCUCAAAGCCAAACCCUCCUUGGGAGCUCUCCCAUUCUGCAAGAGACUAAUGCAGAAUCCAGUAAUAUGAUAUGUUUUCAUGGGCUUCUGACUCGGUUGCCCCAUGAAUGUUCAAAUGACCCUGACC
RNAcentral lists this long non-coding RNA (463 nucleotides) under Marmota monax (woodchuck). Lineage: Eukaryota; Metazoa; Chordata; Mammalia; Rodentia; Sciuridae. The record is from RNAcentral.